UGGGAACGUACCCUUUGGUUCGGAACAACCCAGGGAAACUUGGGCUAAUACCGAAUACGUCCGUAAGGAGAAAGAUUUAUCGCUGAAGGAUCGGCCCGCGUCUGAUUAGCUUGUUGGUGAGGUAACGGCUCACCAAGGCUACGAUCAGUAGCUGGUCUGAGAGGAUGAUCAGCCACACUGGGACUGAGACACGGCCCAGACUCCGUACGGGAGCAGCAG
RNAcentral lists this ribosomal RNA (219 nucleotides) under uncultured bacterium. RNAcentral's name for it is "partial 16S ribosomal RNA". It matches the Rfam family "Bacterial small subunit ribosomal RNA", at positions 118 to 354 of the family's 1533-position model. The record is from RNAcentral.